AUUUAGGAAUUUUAUUGAUUUCAAUAAAUUGUUUAAAAUUAAAUUUUACUUCAUGGGCUUGGGUAGGCUCAUUCUUGUUUAUUAACAGAUGCAAUAAAGCAGGAAUCAAGAUAAGAUUCACCACCAGCAGAAUCCAAUACAUAGGGGAUACAAGAAGAGAAUAAGCGAGAUUUAUGCCAUUAUACUCAUACGAACAUAACAGCUAACAUUAACACACAUGUAUAAGAACAUCUUUGUCAUUCAAUGUGGUAUAAUGUAUGUUGAUAGGAAGCUAAGGAACAUUUUGACUGUGUUGAUGAUGAUGAAUUUGAGAAGUAUGUAGUACUGGUAAUUUACGACAAGGUGCCUUGACUAUUAUAGGUUGCGGGGCAUUAUAAGAUAAGAGGAAAUUAUAGGUAAGUGAUUUGAGUUGAGGAAAACACCCACUAGGGUGAAUGAGUUACUUCACUGUAAUGUAGAUUCUAAUUGCUUGAGGUGCUGAUUUGGGCUUACUGAACGAUUUAUGCUCAUCCUGUUAUUUAAUGUUGUUUUUUCAAAUCUAAUAAAAUAAGAGGGUGAUCCCUAUACAGUCAACCUAGUUCUUGAAGCAUGGAGGAAAUAAGAAAAGGGAAAACUAAAGUUGUGUAGGAGUGAGAUUAAAUAGAGGUUCAUACAGCAAAUAGGAAUACAAGAACAAUGCUUCUAAAAAAGAGAAGGAAAAAAAAAUAGCAAGAGGCAAUAGGAUAGAUAAAGAAAAUUUAUACAUUCAGUUGGUAAGAUUUCGAAACUAUAUUAAUGUAUGAACGCAUGUUUUGGAUCUUCUCAAAUUUUGUUUAUAUGAUAUAUAUAUUUUCUUGAUAU
This 840-nucleotide long non-coding RNA is filed under the name Carica papaya (papaya). RNAcentral's name for it is "long non-coding RNA (CPAP_LNC016198)". Lineage: Eukaryota; Viridiplantae; Streptophyta; Magnoliopsida; Brassicales; Caricaceae. The record is from RNAcentral.